GAAAAGUUUAAAAAUAUUAGUUAUUGCUGCCCGUUGUGCUGACGGGAGUAAAUACAAGACUUUAAUAAUGCGACUGGCAGCAAAAGGUAAAGACUCCCUUGACGGCACAGAAAUUCUGAAGUUCCUGAGACGAGUAUUGUUGCACAUACAAGUGAGGUGUCCGGCAGCCAAAAAGUACCUGUUGACUUUUGUGACGGACUACAACCCAGCCAAUAAUUUUUCUGCACAAUGUAUACGACAUUACGCAUAUGCGAAAUAAUUUCGCAAGAAAACAUGGAUAUUUAGAGUCGGCGCUCUACCAAUUGUACGAGGAUAUGGAGUAUACGGACACAAAUUGGUGAGGAGCAAUGGAGGCGAAAAGGGUCAAGUUCGUGGGUAAUACCCAUAGCCAGCUUUUGCUACAGGAGCUGUCGCAGCUGGAGAAGAUUUGUGAAAACUACUUCUCCAACUUCCCAGACAAGACCCUACGCUUAAAUGGCUGCAAGAACGAUGACCUGGAAGUUCGGGGCGAUGUCCUUGCUUUUCAUUUCAAGCGUCUCAUUCAAAUAAUGGUCGACACUCCCUUCCAGCACGAUUUGCACAAAAGCUUAUAAUAAAGCUAUGCUUCAUAUAUAUACAUGCUUUGGA
Long non-coding RNA from Drosophila obscura, 627 nucleotides. RefSeq lists it as uncharacterized. The transcript is spliced from 3 exons. NCBI's taxonomy places the organism in Eukaryota, Metazoa, Arthropoda, Insecta, Diptera, Drosophilidae. The record is from RefSeq and is a predicted model, not a curated record.